RNAcentral lists this ribosomal RNA (466 nucleotides) under uncultured bacterium. RNAcentral describes it as "partial 16S ribosomal RNA". It matches the Rfam family "Bacterial small subunit ribosomal RNA", at positions 28 to 507 of the family's 1533-position model. The record is from RNAcentral.
GAUGAACGCUGGCGGCGUGCUUAACACAUGCAAGUCGAACGAUGGAGCCAGGCUUUCUGGGUUGUUUAGUGGCGAACGGGCGAGUAACUCGUGAGUAACCUGCCUUUCACUAUGGGUUAAGCCAGGGAAACUGGGCCUAAUUCCGGAUAGGAACGUCUACCAAACGGAUGGUUCUGGAAUGAUUUAGCGGUUUUGGAUCGACUCGCGGCCAAUCAGCUUGUUGGUGAGGGAUUGGUACACCAACGCGACGCCGGGUAGACGGCCCGUGAGGGGGACCGGCCACACGAGGACUGAGACACGGCGCAGACUCGAACGUGAGGCAGCAGUGGGGAAUAUUGCAGAAUGGGGGCAAGCCAGAGGCAGCGACGCCGCGUGCGGGAUGACGUCCUUCGGGUUGAAAACCUAUGUCAGAGGGGAAGAAGAGAAAGUGACGGUACCUGCAGAAGAAGCACCGGCUAACUACGUG